AUGAGUGUCUUCAAACUCCCGGCUUCUGUUUGUGAUGAUCUUACAAGGAUGAUACGUCAGUAUUGGUGGGGGGUAGAGAACGGCAAGAAGAAGAUGGCAUGGAUGAGCUGGGAUAGGCCGCGUCUGCCUAAACCCAUGGGGGGCAUGGGGUUUAGGGAUAUGAGGGCGUUUAACCAAGCGCUACUAGCUAAGCAAGCCUGGAGGCUCCUGGAUAGACCAGUUAGCCUAUGUGCGCGGUUGAUGAAGGCAAAAUACUAUCCUUCUGGUCAGCUUUUGGAUACGGUGUUCCCGGGCUCUGGUUCUGAGAGUCUCUGA
Molecule: ribosomal RNA, 315 nt
Filed under: Triticum aestivum (bread wheat)
Lineage: Eukaryota; Viridiplantae; Streptophyta; Magnoliopsida; Poales; Poaceae
Description: partial small subunit ribosomal RNA
Source: RNAcentral